This 253-nucleotide ribosomal RNA is filed under the name uncultured bacterium. RNAcentral's name for it is "partial 16S ribosomal RNA". It matches the Rfam family "Bacterial small subunit ribosomal RNA", at positions 524 to 776 of the family's 1533-position model. The record is from RNAcentral.
UACGUAGGGUGCGAGCGUUAAUCGGAAUUACUGGGCGUAAAGCGUGCGCAGGCGGUUCGCCAAGUCAGGUGUGAAAUCCCCGGGCUUAACCUGGGAAUUGCGCUUGAAACUAGCGGGCUUGAGUGUGGCAGAGGGGGGUGGAAUUCCACGCGUAGCAGUGAAAUGCGUAGAGAUGUGGAGGAACACCGAUGGCGAAGGCAGCCCCCUGGGUCAACACUGACGCUCAUGCACGAAAGCGUGGGGAGCAAACAGG